AUUGAACGCUGGCGGCAGGCCUAACACAUGCAAGUCGAACGAGUGGCGGACGGGUGAGUAAUGUCUGGGAAACUGCCUGAUGGAGGGGGAUAACUACUGGAAACGGUAGCUAAUACCGCAUACACUCAGCUGUGCCCAGAUGGGAUGAGCUUGUUGGUGGGGUAACGGGUCACAAAGGCGACAGUCCCUAGCUGGUCUGAGAGGAUGACCAGCCAGACUGGAACUGAGACACGGUCCAGACUCAUACGUGAGUCAGUAGUGUGGAAUAUUGCACAAUGGGCGCAAGCCUGAUGCAGUAAUGCCGCGUGUAUGAAGAAGGCCUGCGGUUUGUAAAGUACUUUCAGCGUGGAGGCGUUAACCGCAGAAGAAGCACCGGCUAACUCCGUGCCAGCAGCCGCGGUAAUAC
This 406-nucleotide ribosomal RNA is filed under the name uncultured bacterium. RNAcentral describes it as "partial 16S ribosomal RNA". It matches the Rfam family "Bacterial small subunit ribosomal RNA", at positions 30 to 526 of the family's 1533-position model. The record is from RNAcentral.